This 612-nucleotide ribosomal RNA is filed under the name bacterium 4753K4-B19. RNAcentral's name for it is "bacterial SSU rRNA". It matches the Rfam family "Bacterial small subunit ribosomal RNA", at positions 57 to 664 of the family's 1533-position model. The record is from RNAcentral.
GCAAGUCGAGCGGUAACAGAAAGUAGCUUGCUACUUUGCUGACGAGCGGCGGACGGGUGAGUAAUGCUUGGGAACAUGCCUUGAGGUGGGGGACAACAGUUGGAAACGACUGCUAAUACCGCAUAAUGUCUACGGACCAAAGGGGGCUUCGGCUCUCGCCUUUAGAUUGGCCCAAGUGGGAUUAGCUAGUUGGUGAGGUAAUGGCUCACCAAGGCGACGAUCCCUAGCUGGUUUGAGAGGAUGAUCAGCCACACUGGGACUGAGACACGGCCCAGACUCCUACGGGAGGCAGCAGUGGGGAAUAUUGCACAAUGGGCGCAAGCCUGAUGCAGCCAUGCCGCGUGUGUGAAGAAGGCCUUCGGGUUGUAAAGCACUUUCAGUCAGGAGGAAAGGUUAGUAGUUAAUACCUGCUAGCUGUGACGUUACUGACAGAAGAAGCACCGGCUAACUCCGUGCCAGCAGCCGCGGUAAUACGGAGGGUGCGAGCGUUAAUCGGAAUUACUGGGCGUAAAGCGUACGCAGGCGGUUUGUUAAGCGAGAUGUGAAAGCCCCGGGCUCAACCUGGGAACUGCAUUUCGAACUGGCAAACUAGAGUGUGAUAGAGGGUGGUAG